AAACGGAUGCUAAUACCGCAUACGCCCUAAGGGGGAAAGGAGGGGAUCUAUUUAUAGACCUUUCGCUAUCAGAUGAGCCUGCGUAGGAUUAGCUAGUUGGUAGGGUAAAGGCCUACCAAGGCGACGAUCCUUAGCUGGUCUGAGAGGAUGACCAGCCACACUGGGACUGAGACACGGCCCAGACUCCUACGGGAGGCAGCAGUGGGGAAUAUUGGACAAUGGGGGCAACCCUGAUCCAGCCAUGCCGCGUGUGUGAAGAAGGCCUUCGGGUUGUAAAGCACUUUCAGUGGUGAGGAAAGGGUAACGGUUAAUAACCGUUACCUGUGACGUUAGCCACAGAAGAAGCACCGGCUAAUUCCGUGCCAGCAGCCGCGGUAAUACGGAAGGUGCGAGCGUUAAUCGGAAUAACUGGGCGUAAAGCGCGCGUAGGUGGUUGAGUCAGUCAGAUGUGAAAGCCCCGGGCUUAACCUGGGAACUGCACCUGAUACUGCUUAACUAGAGUACGGUAGAGGGCAGUGGAAUUUCCUGUGUAGCGGUGAAAUGCGUAGAUAUAGGAAGGAACACCAGUGGCGAAGGCGACUGCCUGGAUUGAUACUGACACUGAGGUGCGAAAGCGUGGGUAGCAAACAGGAUUAGAUACCCUGGUAGUCCACGCCGUAAACGAUGUCGACUAGCCGUUGGGAGACUUGCUCUCUUAGUGGCGCAGCUAACGCAAUAAGUCGACCGCCUGGGGAGUACGGCCGCAAGGUUAAAACUCAAAUGAAUUGACGGGGGCCCGCACAAGCGGUGGAGCAUGUGGUUUA
RNAcentral lists this ribosomal RNA (803 nucleotides) under Marinobacterium rhizophilum. RNAcentral describes it as "bacterial SSU rRNA". It matches the Rfam family "Bacterial small subunit ribosomal RNA", at positions 154 to 948 of the family's 1533-position model. The record is from RNAcentral. Lineage: Bacteria; Pseudomonadati; Pseudomonadota; Gammaproteobacteria; Oceanospirillales; Oceanospirillaceae.